AAAACAUUCGGACCGUCGGUCUACCGAGCAAUAUCGUGAUGCUCGGUGGAAGAGCUUUCCUGUAUCGU
Molecule: microRNA precursor, 68 nt
Filed under: Bombyx mori (domestic silkworm)
Lineage: Eukaryota; Metazoa; Arthropoda; Insecta; Lepidoptera; Bombycidae
Description: mir-2774 microRNA precursor family
Rfam family: mir-2774 microRNA precursor family
Source: Rfam by way of RNAcentral